RNAcentral lists this ribosomal RNA (253 nucleotides) under uncultured bacterium. RNAcentral's name for it is "partial 16S ribosomal RNA". It matches the Rfam family "Bacterial small subunit ribosomal RNA", at positions 524 to 776 of the family's 1533-position model. The record is from RNAcentral.
GACGAACCGAGCGAACGUUGUUCGGAAUCACUGGGCUUAAAGGGCGCGUAGGCGGCCUGGUCAGUCAGGGGUGAAAUCUUUCGGCUCAACCGGAAAAGUGCCUUUGAUACUGCCAGGCUUGAGGGAGAUAGGGGCGUGUGGAACUUCCAGUGGAGCGGUGAAAUGCGUUGAUAUUGGAAGGAACGCCGGUGGCGAAAGCGACACGCUGGGUCUCUUCUGACGCUGAGGCGCGAAAGCUAGGGGAGCGAACGGG